GUCGUAACAAGGUUUCCGUAGGUGAACCUGCGGAAGGAUCAUUAUCGUUCCUUCACCCGCACUUUGCGUACUGUUGAUUGUUUGUUCUUUUGACACUUUGUGGCUUGGUGGGGUGUGUGUGGUGAGAGAUCACUGCCGCACUACAUCGACCACAUCGUCGCACCCUGCUUCGGCAGCUUCGUGAGCAUUGCGCGCCAUGAAUGGUUGUGCAAUGCUUCUCCCCUAUGACUCUCGCGCUUGUGCGCUUGAGCGUAUCUCUAAAAUACACAACUCUUGUCGAUGGAUAUCUUGGCAUGAACAACGAUGAAGAACGCAGCGAAAUGCGAUACGUAGUGCGAAUUGCAGAAUUCAGUGAAUCAUCGAAACUUUGAACGCAAAUGGCACUUUCAGCUUCCGGCUGGAAGUACAUUUCCUCCAGUGGCGCCACCAACCCCCUCGGGAGCGGUUCCCCCGCUUGUCCGGAUCGUGGUCGCUGCGCUUCCUCGUCGGAGCGCGCCGACUCAAGUGGCGAGCGCUGCGACUGUCUGCGUGCGGGCGUGUGUCUGUCUCUCAUUUUUUGAUAGAUGGGAGCACGUUCGGCCAAUGUGCUAGGUAAGGUGAUUUCAUCUGUCUUACAAGUCAUUGGUUGGAGCGCGGGUGGUCGUGCGCGGGGUUGCGAGAGUGUUGGUACUCUCUCGCGUCCCUGACAGUAUUUACUACCCACAUCCCGCCAUGGAGUGACGUGAGGCUACCCGCUGAACUUAAGCAUAUCACUAAGCGGAGGAGAAGAAAACAACCGUGAUGCCCCUAGUAAUGGCGAAUGAAGCGGGCAGAGCUCACGCCGCCAAUCUGGAGGCCCUCGCGGCCCCCCGAAUUGUAGUCUAGAAAGGCGCCAUCGGCCGCGUCCGUCGCUCAAAUCCCUUGGAACAGGGUAUCGGAGAAGGUGAGAGUCCUGUACCGUGUCGGAUCGCGGCCGCACGAUGCGUUUUUGCAGAGUCGGGUUGCUUGGGAUUGCAGCUUGAAUUGGGUGGUAAAUUCCAUCUAAAGCUAAAUACUGGUUCAUGACCGAUAGCGAACAAGUACCGUGAGGGAAAGAUGCAAAGAACUUUGAAAAGAGAGUUAAAGAGUGCUUGAAAUCGGCAAGAGGAAACCCGUAUGUGCCCGGUUUCGCUUGGUCAAUUCAGCCGUGUUCAUCGGUGCACUUUGACUGAGCGGGUCAUCCGCGCUUGUGCGUGCGUGAUAAACGCCUGGGGGGCUUCGGUGAGCCAGGUUUUGUGCGCGCGUGCGAGUCCGGCUGACGGAACGGGCACAUCCGACCCGUCUAGAAACACGGACCAAGGAGUCUGACACGGAUGCGAGUACCCGGGUGAUAAGCCCGCGUGCGCAAUGAAAGUAAAGGGCGUGCCCCGCCAACCGACCUUGAUCUUCUGUGAAGGGUUUGAGUCGAGCAUCACUGUCGGGACCCGAAAGAUGGUGAACUAUGCGUGA
RNAcentral lists this ribosomal RNA (1467 nucleotides) under Chrysochromulina simplex. RNAcentral's name for it is "eukaryotic LSU rRNA". The stretch from base 708 to 1467 matches the Rfam family "Eukaryotic large subunit ribosomal RNA", at positions 1 to 840 of the family's 3401-position model. Lineage: Eukaryota; Haptophyta; Prymnesiales; Chrysochromulinaceae. The record is from RNAcentral.